RNAcentral lists this ribosomal RNA (262 nucleotides) under uncultured Eubacteriales bacterium. RNAcentral describes it as "uncultured Clostridiales bacterium partial 16S ribosomal RNA". It matches the Rfam family "Bacterial small subunit ribosomal RNA", at positions 524 to 786 of the family's 1533-position model. The record is from RNAcentral. Lineage: Bacteria; Bacillati; Bacillota; Clostridia; Eubacteriales.
UACGUAUGGAGCGAGCGUUGUCCGGAAUUAUUGGGCGUAAAGGGUACGCAGGCGGUUUAAUAAGUCGAAUGUUAAAGAUCGGGGCUCAACCCCGUAAAGCAUUGGAAACUGAUAAACUUGAGUAGUGGAGAGGAAAGUGGAAUUCCUAGUGUAGUGGUGAAAUACGUAGAUAUUAGGAGGAAUACCAGUAGCGAAGGCGACUUUCUGGACACAAACUGACGCUGAGGUACGAAAGCGUGGGGAGCAAACAGGAUUAGAUACC